Non-coding RNA from Trichuris muris, 45 nucleotides. The record is from Rfam. NCBI's taxonomy places the organism in Eukaryota, Metazoa, Nematoda, Enoplea, Trichinellida, Trichuridae.
CAAACGGCCCUUUUCAGGGCCACUACGUAACUAUGCAACUGACCA